AACGCGAAGAACCUUACCUGGGCUCGAACGGCUCCGGACCGUCGUGGAAACACGAUCUUCCCCUUAAAAGGAUCGGAGUCGAGGUGCUGCAUGGCUGUCGUCAGCUCGUGUCGUGAGAUGUUGGGUUAAGUCCCGCAACGAGCGCAACCCUCGCCCUUAGUUGCCAGUCCGCAAGGACGCACUCUAGGGGGACUGCCACGGAUAACGUGGAGGAAGGUGAGGAUGACGUCAAGUCCUCAUGGCCUUUAUGUCCAGGGCUACACACGUGCUACAAUGGCCAGUACAAUCCGUCGCCAACCCGCAAGGGGGAGCCAAUCGGAAAAAGCUGGCCUCAGUUCGGAUUGCAGUCUGCAACUCGGCUGCAUGAAGCUGGAAUCGCUAGUAAUGGUGGAUCAGCAUGCCACCGUGAAUACGUUCCCGGGCCUUGUACACACCGUGUCGA
Molecule: ribosomal RNA, 442 nt
Filed under: uncultured bacterium
Lineage: Bacteria
Description: bacterial SSU rRNA
Rfam family: Bacterial small subunit ribosomal RNA
Source: RNAcentral